UACGUAGGGGGCAAGCGUUGUCCGGAAUCAUUGGGCGUAAAGCGCGUGUAGGCGGUCCGGUAAGUCGGCUGUGAAAGUCCAGGGCUCAACCCUGGGAUGCCGGUCGAUACUGCCGGACUAGAGUUCGGAAGAGGCGAGUGGAAGUUCCCGGUGUGAGCGGUGAAAUGCGCAGAUAUCGGGAGGAACACCAAUGGCGAAGGCAGCUCGCUGGGACGUUACGUGACGCUGACGACGCGAAAGCGUGGGGAGCCAACAGGGAGU
Molecule: ribosomal RNA, 261 nt
Filed under: uncultured bacterium
Lineage: Bacteria
Description: partial 16S ribosomal RNA
Rfam family: Bacterial small subunit ribosomal RNA
Source: RNAcentral